CCUACGGGGGGCAGCAGUGGGGAAUAUUGGACAAUGGGCGAAAGCCUGAUCCAGCCAUGCCGCGUGUGUGAAGAAGGCCUUCGGGCUGUAAAGCACUUUCAGUGGGGAAGAAAGCCUUGGGGCUAAUACCCUCGAGGAAGGACAUCACCCACAGAAGAAGCACCGGCUAACUCCGUGCCAGCAGCCGCGGUAAUACGGAGGGUGCGAGCGUGAAUCGGAAUUACUGGGCGUAAAGCGCGCGUAGGCGGUCUGAUAAGCCGGUUGUGAAAGCCCCGGGCUCAACCUGGGAACGGCAUCCGGAACUGUCAGGCUAGAGUGCAGGAGAGGAAGGUAGAAUUCCCGGUGUAGCGGUGAAAUGCGUAGAGAUCGGGAGGAAUACCAGUGGCGAAGGCGGCCUUCUGGACUGACACUGACGCUGAGGUGCGAAAGCGUGGGUAGCAAACAGGAUUAGAUACCCUAGUAGUC
RNAcentral lists this ribosomal RNA (465 nucleotides) under Vreelandella stevensii. RNAcentral describes it as "partial 16S ribosomal RNA". It matches the Rfam family "Bacterial small subunit ribosomal RNA", at positions 338 to 795 of the family's 1533-position model. The record is from RNAcentral. Lineage: Bacteria; Pseudomonadati; Pseudomonadota; Gammaproteobacteria; Oceanospirillales; Halomonadaceae.